Molecule: long non-coding RNA, 700 nt
Organism: Mus musculus (house mouse)
Lineage: Eukaryota; Metazoa; Chordata; Mammalia; Rodentia; Muridae
Product: predicted gene, 34207
Exons: 5
Source: RefSeq, a predicted model, not a curated record
UGUAUGUGCAUGUGUGUGAGGGCACAGCAUGUGUGUGGAUGUCCUAGGAGAGCCAUGAGCUGGUCUUCACCCUCACACUUGAUAUGACACAGAGUCUCUGUUGGGUGUCACUGUGUCCACCAGACUCGCUGGUUUGCAGGAUUUGGGGAAUUCUUCUGUCUCUGCCUUCAAUCUUGCUGCAGGAGCGCUGGGGCUACAGACUUCCAUCAUCUAGCUUUAUGUGGGUUUUCAGGAUUCAAACUCAGGACCUCACAGUUCUGUAGCUAGAAGAUCCAGAAAAGACUGCCCCACCCACACAAAAGUACUGGAACCCCAAUGCACCGUAGCCUUUCCAGGACCCAUUAGAAAGACACUCUUGUUUCAGCCCAGAUUAUCGCCCCAUAUCCUUCAUCCCACUGCCAACUGGAAGGGAGACAUCCUAGAAGGAUCUAUUGCUCAGCGACUAAGGAUUUAGCCUUCUUGGUACCCCUUCUUCAAGAGCACUGGGAACACCAGGAAUGGGAAAAAAAUCAGGACUUGCCUCCAGGUGGGAGAUACCUAAGAUGACCAGAACAGAGAAUGGACAGGCUCUGGGAAGACAAAGUCAGAGUCAGCAGGCUCCAGUCAGCUCUGACUCACUCCCACCAAGCCUCUUCCCUGAAACACACACACAAGGCAUUGUGUCUCCCAUCUAUAGCAGCUAAUCACCAUGCUGUAAACG